This is a long non-coding RNA of Homo sapiens (human), 2230 nucleotides long. RefSeq lists it as uncharacterized. NCBI's taxonomy places the organism in Eukaryota, Metazoa, Chordata, Mammalia, Primates, Hominidae. The transcript is spliced from 3 exons. The record is from RefSeq and is a predicted model, not a curated record.
GGACGCGCGGUGCCGGGAGCUGGGAGGAUCGCGGAGUAGGCUGGGGGCUGCUGCCUCGCGGACAGUGAGAGGGGACAGGGAGAGGGGACGAAGAAAUGCUAGUUCUUAACCAAGGCUAUGCAAAGGGAGAGGGGAGGCGUGUCAAAGGAGCUGCAUAAUUCAGAUGGAAAAUCCACUCCUCUCCAAUUGUCUGGGCUUCUUAGCGGCAGCGAAUUGGGAGAGGGGUGUAUUUCCAAGGACAGGGAUGGCUUGUAGGUAUCCAGCUAGAUGAGACCUCGUGGGGGUGGGGGGGAGCUGGAAUCACAGGGGUCAUUCAUCCCAGGAAAAGGUGUGAGCCAAAGGCGGGCGUAUUAAAUAUUUCCCUAACUUCAACAUUUUCCUCUGAGGUUUUUUGCAUCUCUUUUCUCAUUAAUUUAUUGUUUUUCAGUAAAGACGUAUUAUUGUGUAACCAGGAGCACUUUAGUAAUUAUACCUUUGAACAUGUUUUCCUGUAAAUAAACUAAAAAGGAUACAGGGUGGGAAGAGGAUGGGUUGAGAUUGGGGCCACCUGAAUUCCCGCCAUCCUUUGCCACGGAUUGGCUGUGUGAGGCUGAGCAAGCCUUGCACCUCUCUCUCCGUGGGAAGAACAGCGAGACCUUUUCAAAGGUUGUGGGCAGAGUCAAAGGAGAUAAUGAAACUGAAGGGGAGGCCCUGGGGAAUGGCUUCUGAUUUCCGAUGUGGAAAAAUUAAUCCGUAAGAAGUGGGUUAGCCCCGUGUAUCUCAGGAAAAGCCCAGGGAUCUAGCUGGACCCUGCAUAGAAGCUGCCAGGAGGCCUCCACACACAUUCUGAUGGGGUUCGAGAUGACCAAGUACAUUCCUGCCGACCUCCUCCCACCUCUGACUGGCAGAACAUUUGAGAAAUGGCAAGCAACCCAGACAGGUGAACACAAAACCUCAGCUUAAGUCUUGGUAAGGCCAGUUAGAGAAUGAGGCUUGACCUAUGGCCACACAUGCCCCCUAAUAGGUCCCCCAAAACUCCAGAGAGAAGACAACACCCCCAGAAGUGGCCACUGGGGAUAGAACUUAGCAUCUGCUUAGCUCCAUGUACAAGGUGCCGUGCUCAGCCCUGCAGCGGUGGAUGGUGUUAUCUGAUGGGGAAGAAGACAGAUAACAGUGGCACAGAGAGGAUGGCAGACACCUUCCUAGGAGCCCGAAGCACAGGGAUUCUCUUCUGUCUACAGCAGCCAGCAGCUUCCUCCCGAGUCUACAGGAUAGAUACGAGUCACUGGAAGCUCCCUAUGGCUUGGUGUUGAGGUAUCACCUGCUUUUCUCCACAAAGCUAGAAAGAGAAUAACUUCCUUCUGCCUUUUCAGAGGCAGCAAGGCACAGUGGUAAGAUGACAGGAUCUAGAGACAAAUGAGCUGAAGCCAAGACUGUCCUCCAACUGGGUUACCUUGAGCAAGACAUGUAACAUCUCUCAGCAUCUGAAAAAGAAAAGAAAAAAACAACAAAAUCUACUUUCGGGGCUGAGAGAGAAUAAAAUGAAAUAGUAAUUAUGAGAACACAUCCUAAAGCAUAAACUAUACAUUAUCAUGAAAUAUUAAAUAUCACCAUUAUUUAGACAUUGCUGGCUUGCUCCUCUGCUCUGUGCUCAUGGCCUACGGAUCUAUUCCUGAUAUCAAAGCUGCUUUCCUACCUAGCUGGAGCUCCAGGGAGAUGGUGAGGCCCAAUGAUCUAGGAAUAACAGGACAACUGAAUUCCCACCUGAGAGUCCUCCCGGAGCUGCAAGAGCCAAAUAGGCCUAGGGGGCACACAGGGACUCUGAGGGUACAUACAUAGUGGAUAGAGAUUAUAUGAACUGCACACACAGCACCAGAAAACACACACAUAUAUGAACACAACACAUGAGCACAAUGUGCCAUGUAACAGAAUAAACGCCUAGUGGAUGAAUAAUUGAGGAGUAAGAUGUGCUAAAUGCAGAAGCACUGGCCAAGAGAUCCUGAGUCUUAAGUUCCAUUCUGAUACUGACUCGCUAUGUAACCUCAUGAGAGCCCCUUGCUCUCUCAGUUCCUUCCUUCUCAUCUGCAAAAUAGUGACAAUAACAUCUGCCUUGCCUACUUUGUAGGGCUUGUGCAAGGAUAAAAUAAAAACUUUCCUACAGGAAGCAGUCCAAAGUCCUAUUUGUGUAACACCAGGCUCUUAGCCAUCUGUAAUGAACUACUUAAUAAACAGUUUUUAUGGAUGUGUAAAA